Choloepus didactylus (southern two-toed sloth) is the source of this 638-nucleotide long non-coding RNA. RefSeq lists it as uncharacterized. The record is from RefSeq and is a predicted model, not a curated record. NCBI's taxonomy places the organism in Eukaryota, Metazoa, Chordata, Mammalia, Pilosa, Megalonychidae. The transcript has 2 exons.
AUUCAUGACCAGGUUAGUUCGCGCAGUCUGCAUCUCUCUCUCUCCUUCCCUGUUUCCCCUCGCCGGCCGGGAACCGGGGACCGAGCGGGGCAGCGCCGGACAGCCUACUUUACCUAGACAUUAAUUUAGGAAUAAAGCAACAGGGUUAUCUUGCAGAACUCUGAAGUCAAUGCCUGAAAUCGAGCCUCUAAUGUCCCCAUCUGUAGUUUCAGAAUUACAAAGCUACUUUUCUUCUCUGAAGGUUAACCACAGUACAACACUGACUACUAGAAAGGAAACUACUUCCUGGGAUUAUGUUAUGAAAAACUGAGAAGAACCUAUAAUAAGAGGAUUUUUUUUUUUCUAGGAGUUGUCAAAGAAAAACUGUGCCGGACAAUGUGAAACAGAUAAGAAACUGAGGCUUGGUCUAAGUAAAGGAGGUGAUAUGCCAUAAUGGAAUGAUGGGGACCAUGCAGCUCAUCAGAUCUGGUUUAGAAUUGACCUUAAGCUAGAGACUUAAUUUCAGUUUACUUAUCUAUAAAUUUGGGAUAAUAAUAUCUGUAUUGCAGGAUUAUUGAAUGGAUUAGAGGUAUUGUAUGUUAAAAGGCCCUAAGAUUAUUUGUUAAGCAUUCAAUAAAUGGUAGCUAUUAUAAAAACAA